Molecule: long non-coding RNA, 909 nt
Filed under: Salvia miltiorrhiza (redroot sage)
Lineage: Eukaryota; Viridiplantae; Streptophyta; Magnoliopsida; Lamiales; Lamiaceae
Description: long non-coding RNA (SMIL_LNC002877)
Source: RNAcentral
GAUGGCUUAAGUCACAUGAUCAAACACAUACAUAGAUCAAUGGCUUAGGUCCCAUGAUCAACUUAUUAACAUAGAUCAAUGGCUUAGGUCCCAUGAUCGCACAUAACAUCAUAGAUCAAUGGCUUAGGUCUCAUGAUCACACAUAACAAAAUAGAUCAAUGGCUUAGUUCUCAUAAUCGCACAUAACAUCAUAGAUCAAUGGCUUAGGUCCCAUGAUCACACAUAACAACAUAGUCAUAAGAUGCACGUAAACAAGUAAUCAAACGCGAUAAUAAAAUAUAUAUAACCAUAUGAAUAAGCGUAAAAUCCCUCACCUUAGUAUCCAAGCUUAUAAAUUCAAUCAAAUCUGAAACGAGGAUCCUAGUUACACCGUACCUAAUUAAAUAGAUAAAAUGUUUCAAUAUGAAUCCUAACUAUAACUUAAAUUCGAAUUCUGUAAAUAAAUCUUAUAUAAUUAAAUAUAUAUACUUAAGCAUUAAAAAUAUAAACCUUUUGGAAUUAAACUAAAUUAUUUAGAAUUUAAAGAAAUUUAAUAAGUUUAUAAAAAAAAUACUCCUAUACUAACAAUUACCGUCAACUAUCUUAAUUAUAGAAAAACUGAUUUAACUUAAAUCAAUUAACUACAUAAAAAGAAAGAUUUUCGGAAUUCCAGAUUUGGUUAGCUCAAUAAAAAUAAAACGCCACUUUAUAAAUUCAUUAGAAUUUUGAAACUUAAACAAUGAUGUAACCAAAUAAGUCUUCGCAGACUACUACUUGAAAAAGAAAAAAAAAGUUUUAAACUCCAUCCAAAAAUAUUGUCUAAGCCAAAAAGGAUUAUAAUUUAAUUGAACAAAAGCAUUAAUAUACUAAAAAUGAUUAAAUCUGAAUUGACCUUUUACGAAAAGCUUUACAGAUGAAUGGGUAUCAAAG